Molecule: small nuclear RNA, 166 nt
Organism: Colossoma macropomum (tambaqui)
Lineage: Eukaryota; Metazoa; Chordata; Actinopteri; Characiformes; Serrasalmidae
Product: U1 spliceosomal RNA
Exons: 1
Source: RefSeq, a predicted model, not a curated record
CUAUCUAUCUGUCUGUCUGUCUAUCUAACCACGAAAGUGGUUCACACAGGGCGAGGCUCGGCCAUUGCACUUCGGUUGUGCUGACCCUUGCGAAUACCCCAAAUGCGGGAAUCUCGACUUUCUUUUUGGAGCAGUUGUGGGCUGGAGGUUAGGGAACCAGCCUUGU